GACGAACGCUGGCGGCGUGCUUAACACAUGCAAGUCGAACGGUGAAGCGCCUUCCUUUUUGGUGGGUGUGGAUGAGUGGCGAACGGGUGAGUAACACGUGAGUAACCUGCCCCCUUCUUCUGGAUAACCGCAUGAAAGUGUGGCUAAUACGGGAUAUUCUGGGUCUGUCGCAUGAUGGGUCUGGGAAAGAUAUUGUUUCGGUGGGGGAUGGGCUCGCGGCCUAUCAGCUUGUUGGUGGGGUGAUGGCCUACCAAGGCGGUGACGGGUAGCCGGCCCGAGAGGGUGGACGGUCACACUGGGACUGAGACACGGCCCAGACUCCUACGGGAGGCAGCAGUGGGGAAUAUUGCACAAUGGGCGCAAGCCUGAUGCAGCGACGCCGCGUGAGGGAUGGAGGCCUGCGGGUUGUGAACCUCUUUCGCCAGUGAAGCAGGCCUGCCUCGUUUGUGGGUGGGUUGACGGUAGCUGGAUAAGAAGCGCCGGCUAACUACGUG
Molecule: ribosomal RNA, 494 nt
Filed under: uncultured bacterium
Lineage: Bacteria
Description: partial 16S ribosomal RNA
Rfam family: Bacterial small subunit ribosomal RNA
Source: RNAcentral